This is a non-coding RNA of Pelobates cultripes (western spadefoot toad), 287 nucleotides long. NCBI's taxonomy places the organism in Eukaryota, Metazoa, Chordata, Amphibia, Anura, Pelobatidae. The record is from the annotation of a GenBank genome assembly.
GAUGCCCGCAGGCAGCACAAGCUUGUGGUUGUCAAGCCAGCUGUGCGACCCCUAGGAGGAAGCCGUGUUCCCACUGGCACAAACGCACCACCGAGACAACUACUCCCACCAGCUCCUACAGCUACUCAACCGAGGUUCCGCCAAACCCCCUCUGGGCAAUGCCACCAGUGCCAGAGGUGGGAACACUACAAGCGGGACUGUCCACAGCUUCGAGACCGAUCCACCUGGAUCCGACCAGGUCCACCCCCACCACCGAGAGCAGCAGCACACCACUACCAGGACGAGAC